This 2235-nucleotide unclassified non-coding RNA is filed under the name Stegodyphus dumicola. RNAcentral's name for it is "vacuolar protein sorting-associated protein 53 homolog, transcript variant X3". The record is from RNAcentral. Lineage: Eukaryota; Metazoa; Arthropoda; Arachnida; Araneae; Eresidae.
UUUACUAAUAAUUAGUGUUUUUUUUAUUUCCAUGUGGCCAUUGGAAAGGUAAUAGGAAGAUGAAAAUGGAGUUUGAUGAUGAUAUAAUCGAAGAUGAAAAUUUAAAUAGCCAUAUUGAAUUCCCACCUGAAGUUCAAAAUGCUAUUGAACAGGUUCUUCCAAGUACUGAUCCUUUGGAUCAUCCCGAUUUCAAUGCUGUUGAGUACAUUAAUAAAUUAUUCCCAACUGAACAAUCUCUGUCCAAUAUUGAUGAGGUUACUGGUAGAAUGAAAAUGAAAAUUAGACAGUUAGACGAUGAAAUACGUACUGUAGUUCGUGGUCAGACAAGUGUUGGUCAGGAUGGACGGCAAGCUUUAGAGGAAGCUCAGAAAGCUAUCAAACAGCUGUUUGCCCGUAUAAAAGAUAUAAAAGAUAAAGCAGAAAAGUCAGAACAUAUGGUUAAAGAAAUAACUAGAGACAUUAAGCAGUUGGAUCAUGCCAAACGACACCUAACUGCUUCAAUUUUGACUCUGAAUCAGUUACACAUGCUAGUUGAUGGUGUAGAGAAAUUGCAAGUGUUAGUGAAGAAGCGUCAGUAUGGUGAAAUUGCCAAUCUUCUUCAAGGAGUUACCAAUGUGCUUGAUCAUUUUCAAAAAUACAUGGGCAUUCCACAGAUAGCUCGAUUAGCAGAUAAGUCCCAAAGUAUUAAAGCAGAUUUAACUGAACAGAUUACGAAUGAUUUCCAAAAUGCUUUUGCUGGGCCAAAUUCCAAGCACUUCACUGCAAAUUCACUUCAACAGUUAGCAGAAGCUUGUUUAGUAGUUUCAAUACUUGAACCAAAAGUAAAACGUGAAUUGCUAAAAUGGUUUGUUGGUGUUCAGCUCUCUGAGUAUACUCAUUUAUUUCAAGAAACACAAGAUAUUGCAUGGUUGGACAAAAUUGACAAGCGAUAUGCCUGGUUAAAAAAACACCUUAUUGAGUUUGAAGAAAAGUUUGGGAGGAUGUUUCCUCCUGACUGGGAAGUGAGUGAACAUAUCGCUGUUGAGUUUUGCCAUAUCACUAGAAAAGAACUUGGAAAAAUAAUGAUAUCUAGGAAACCUGAAAUAAAUGUGCGACUUUUGCUGGGUGCUAUAGAAAAAACAACCAGCUUUGAAUCUCUUCUAGCCCGGCGGUUUUCAGGUGUUACAUUGGAUUCAACUGUCAUUCAUCAGUUCCCGAAAAAAGAAGCUCCAAAUCCAUUUGAAGAACCAGAAGAAACCAAUCCUUUCAAGGAAGAUAUUAAGAAAGAAUUAGAAACUCCUUCUGAAACCAGUCAGGCUGAAAAUGCAUCAAUUAUAAAAGUAAAGAAUCCCUUUCAAGGUAUAAUUUCUCGAUGCUUUGAACCACAUUUAAACAUAUAUGUUGAAUAUCAAGAUAGAAAUCUUGCUCAAUUGAUGGAUGGGUUUGUGGAAGACAUGCAGAAAGCGGAGCUUCCGAAACCUGAAGUUGAUCAAGCUAAUGUCCUGCCAUCUUGUGCUGAUCUUUUUGUAUUCUACAAAAAAUGCCUCGUUCAAUGUUCUCAAUUGAGCAUUGGACAACCUAUGUUAGCACUCACAGCUGUAUUUCAAAAAUAUUUGAGAGAAUAUGCCAACAGAGUCUUGCAAAAUAGUUUACCAAAAGUUGGAAAUGCCCCAUCUUCUGCAAAUUUGAUUCAAAGUUUAUUGAAGGAAGGAGAAGUUACUAGAUUUAGUCCUGCAGAACAGAUUCAUAUUUGUAGCAUUCUGACCACUGCAGAUUAUUGCUUAGAAACUACAUUACAAUUAGAAGGAAAACUGAAAGAAAAAGUGGAUCCAACCCUUGCAAAUCAAGUUAAUCUUGUUGCAGAACAGGAUGUUUUCCAUAAUGUGAUAUCAAACUGCAUACAGCUCCUUGUACAAAAUUUGGAAUCUGCAUGUGAACCUGCUCUUACAGCUAUGAAUAAAAUUCAGUGGUCUGCAUUUGAAACUGUUGGUGAUCAAAGCAGUUAUGUUUCUGCAAUUACUACACAUCUGAGACAGACUUUGCCUUUGCUGAGAGAUAAUUUAGCUACAUCACGCAAAUACUUCACAAAAUUCUGCAUGAACUUUGCAAAGUAGCUCAUUCAUUCCAAAGCUAAUCUGCCAUCUCUUCAAAUGCAAGCCAGUAAGCCCUAUAGGUGCUGAACAACUUCUGUUGGACACACAUAUGCUGAAAACUGUCUUACUUGAUUUGCCUUCACUUGGAUCUGUUUCAAUGAGA